UCGACAAAGGAUAGCUCAGUUGGUAAAGCAUGAGACUGUUUAUAUCAGGUCAUGAGUUCGAACCCCACACUGGGCAAAA
Molecule: non-coding RNA, 79 nt
Organism: Podarcis lilfordi (Lilford's wall lizard)
Lineage: Eukaryota; Metazoa; Chordata; Lepidosauria; Squamata; Lacertidae
Source: the annotation of a GenBank genome assembly